This 900-nucleotide long non-coding RNA is filed under the name Spirodela polyrhiza (greater duckweed). RNAcentral's name for it is "long non-coding RNA (SPOL_LNC001738)". Lineage: Eukaryota; Viridiplantae; Streptophyta; Magnoliopsida; Alismatales; Araceae. The record is from RNAcentral.
GGGCAGUCAUCGCGAAGAGUUGUCAACGGUGGGCGUCCACCUGGACUAUCGACGAAAAAGUCUUCCCACCUACUUGGACCUGUCUUGUUGAACAAGGCACCAGUCCCCCUACGACGGGACGGGUAAUUCUUCGGCUCUAUCUCUUGAGUCAUCUUCCGUGUUGAACAAGGCACCAGUCCCCCUACGACGGGACGGGUAAUUCUUCGGCUCUAUCUCUUGAGUCAUCUUCCGUGUUGAACAAGGCACCCGUCCCCCUAUCACGGGAUCUCAUUCUCCACUGCUGGAUCAUCCGAUGGCAGGGAGAGCUUUAGGAGAAAGAGAACAGAGAUGAGGGCGGCAGCUCUCGAGAGAAGGAAGGGCCUUGCUGGUCUUUCAGACGCCGGCGACUUCUUCCCGGCCCUGUCGGGGAGAACAGUUCCAGAGUGUACUCUCUUCUUCACCCGCAAGCCCAGUACCAUGGACCACCGCUUUGCUCAUCAAUUCUGCUCAUCGGGGUGCAGGAGCUUCCAGCUCUUCCCGACGAGCUUUGCGGCUCCCCACAGUAUCUCCCGGGCGUUCGAGGUCGGUGACCGGCCGCCGCCGACGAUCAGAGGCAAGCACUCCUCUUCACCCAUGGCUCAGGUUCUGUUUCCUUACGUUCUGCUCAGUUGCAGAACAAACUAACGCGUUCUCUUUGUGAACUCUUUCUAAUGGGGGGUAGUCAUCGCGGAGACUUGUCAACGGUGGGCGUCUGCCUUGAUAAUCAACUAAAAAGUCUACCCACCUACACGGACCUGACGGGUAAUUAAUUCUUCGUCUCUAUCUCUCGAGUCAUCCUUAGUGUUGAACAUGGCACCCGUCCCCAUAUCACGGGAUCUCAUUCUCCACUGCUGGAUCAUCCGAUGUCGGGGAGACCUUUAG